GUAGGUGGCAAGCGUUGUCCGGAAUUAUUGGGCGUAAAGCGCGCGCAGGCGGUUCUUUAAGUCUGAUGUGAAAGCCCACGGCUCAACCGUGGAGGGUCAUUGGAAACUGGAGAACUUGAGUACAGAAGAGGAAAGCGGAAUUCCACGUGUAGCGGUGAAAUGCGUAGAGAUGUGGAGGAACACCAGUGGCGAAGGCGGCUUUCUGGUCUGUAACUGACGCUGAGGCGCGAAAGCGUGGGGGAGCAAACAGGAUUAGAUACCCUGGUAGUCCACGCCGUAAACGAUGAGUGCUAAGUGUUAGGGGGUUUCCGCCCCGUUAGUGCUGCAGCUAACGCAUUAAGCACUCCGCCUGGGAGUACGGCCGCAAGGCUG
Molecule: ribosomal RNA, 372 nt
Filed under: uncultured organism
Description: partial 16S ribosomal RNA
Rfam family: Bacterial small subunit ribosomal RNA
Source: RNAcentral